AUCGACAUCAAUGGCGUCCAAUUCCAUUGAACCCCAUCAUUCUCCACCACCACAAACCCCCAUUUUCCCCUUUCCGUACAUCCAAUCAAUCCUCCAAAUUAGGGUUUUCUUUUGGGAUCAAUCCACCCUCUCAAAACCCUAAUCUUGGACCCUUUUCUUCAAUUCUCCAUUUCAUAUAAUCAAUCAUCUCUACAUGAACAUCGUUUGUUGUCUUUAUUCACGUGUACGUAUACCUAUAGAUACAGAUUCCUGUACGUAUUGUUGUAUGUAACAAUAGUUUGUUCGGUAUGAAGCAAUCCAAGAAGAAGAAAAGACCUAGACCUGGACCUAAACCCCAUGUUUCCAAACCCAAUCAAUCAACCGGAUCUCAAAACCCUAAUUCCGACCCGAUUGAUGAUCCGGGUCAUGAUCAAAUUAGGGUUUUGAACAGUUUAACCCAAAACCCUAAUUCUGACCCGAUUGAUGAUCCGGGUCAUGAUCAAGUUAGGAUUUUGAACAGUUUAACCGAUUCAAUUGCUUCGGUUUCUCUAAACUCAACCGAUACAGGUUCGGGUUCGGGUUCAAGUGUUAAUAGGGAAGAGGAUGGUAUAGAAAUGUUUGGGAGUUUGACGGAGACCUGUUCGAGCUCGAGUGGGAGCUCGGGUUUGUCGAAUUGUGACGAGUAUAAUCGGGCGGGUAGGGGGAAGGUUAAUAAGGGGAGUAAAGUGGUUGCUGCAACUGGAAUGGUGUCUAGUGUGUUGGGGAAGGAUUAUGUGUUUGGGAAAAGAGGGGUUAGUAAGUUGAAGGGGUUGUCGGGUGAUGGCGGCGGUGUGAGUUAUGAUGAUGCGGAGCAGUUUUUGUGUUCGAUGCUCGGUGAUGAUUGUGAAUUGGGCAUGAGCUUGGUUAAAGAUGUGCUUUGUCAAACUGCUUAUGAUGUUGAAAAGGCUUUGGACAUACUGCUUGAGUUAACUGGUUCACCCUCAUCCGAGCUCUCCGAUACCGGUUCGCAUCAAAACUUAAACGUAGAAAGUAAAGAUACUAGGUCUCCUCUAAAAUCAAGUGCUAGUUUGACCUAUAGGACAUCUGAUUUGGCUUCCUCUUCCGAGACUGAUCUCAACGUGGGCUUUGACCGCAGGAAUUACUUCGAUGUUCUUGCUGGUUGUGGGCCCCAACCGCCAUCCGGCACCAAAAACACAUCCGAACUGACUCACGAAGUGUUGGAAUCUCUUUUCAACGCACCGAAAAGUUCGAAACACGAACCGGGAAGCAUGAACUGGAGGAACGUAGUAAAAAAGAUGGAAUCACUCGGCCAGGGCCUCGAUUAUUCUCCUGAAGAUACUGUAAAAAAACAGCAUAUUCCCGCUAAAGGAGACGAUUAUCAGGACUAUAGAACUACGGCAAGUCAGCACUGGGAUUCGAUGAAGUCCUAUUAUCACAAGGCUGCAACUGCGUAUGCAAAUGGAAAACGUGAAUAUGCUGCAUAUCUCUCUGAUCAGGUCCCAAAAGCCGAGGCGCGAACUUCACGUACUUGUGGCGUUGCUACAUAUCAGCAUUGACCCUGAUUUUGACCCGCAUGUGCAUGAAGUGCCGCCUCAAGUCCUUGAGGGAAGGAUAUAUAAUGAAAAGGCUCGGCAAGCGGAUGAAAGGGCAAGCCAGGAUAUAUUCAAUUCAAGGAACAAAGACAUUGAAAAUGUGAUAACAAUCGAUCUACACGGACAACAUGUGAAACAAGGAAUGAAGCUUUUAAAACUUCACCUUUUAUUCGGUGCAUAUGUUCGAUCUGUGCGGCUCUUCAGAGUUAUCACAGGAUGUGGGAGUCAUGGUCUUGGAAAGUCAAAGAUUAAACAGACGGUUGUGAAUCUGUUAGAAGCCGAAAACAUUGAAUGGAAAGAAGAAAAUAGAGGAACUUUGUUAAUCAAACUAAAUGGGCAGAGAGAGUUCAGCUUCUUGGACUCUGGUAGCGACAGCGACUAAAUUUUUUUCUUUCGAUUAUCUUUCCUGACCGAAACUUUGUACGAGUGUAUGUUAAAGGAGAGAUAGAUGUGACUUUAGAGGUGAGUUAAUCUUCUCAUGAGAUUAUGUUGUUCGUUGAAGAUAUUGUAAAUUAAGCACAGAUUAGUUGUGUAGACUUUGGAUUAGUUGUAAAGUAACCCGACUUUUUAUGUAUUUAUGUAAGCGCGAAAAGUGCUUCAUUUUGUAUCA
This is an RNA transcript of Helianthus annuus (common sunflower), 2181 nucleotides long. It is a transcript of the gene named SMR domain-containing protein At5g58720, with no coding region annotated. Lineage: Eukaryota; Viridiplantae; Streptophyta; Magnoliopsida; Asterales; Asteraceae. The record is from RefSeq and is a predicted model, not a curated record. The transcript has 12 exons.